UGGGGAAUCUUGGACAAUGGGGGAAACCCUGAUCCAGCCAUGCCGCGUGAGUGAUGAAGGCCCUAGGGUUGUAAAACUCUUUCGGCGGGGACGAUAAUGACGGUACCCGCAGAAGAAGCUCCGGCUAACUUCGUGCCAGCAGCCGCGGUAAUACGAAGGGGGCUAGCGUUGUUCGGAAUUACUGGGCGUAAAGCGCGCGCAGGCGGCCAUCCAAGUCAGUGGUGAAAGCCCAGAGCUCAACUCUGGAACUGCCAUUGAAACUGUUUGGCUUUGAGUACGGGAGAGGUGAGUGGAAUUCCCAGUGUAGAGGUGAAAUUCGUAGAUAUUGGGAAGAACACCGGUGGCGAAGGCGGCUCACUGGCCCGUUACUGACGCUCAGGCGCGACAGCGUGGGGAUCAAACAGGAUUAGAUACCCCGGUAGUCC
This 425-nucleotide ribosomal RNA is filed under the name uncultured bacterium. RNAcentral describes it as "bacterial SSU rRNA". It matches the Rfam family "Bacterial small subunit ribosomal RNA", at positions 355 to 796 of the family's 1533-position model. The record is from RNAcentral.